UAGGCCUCCUCACAGAGCUGCUUGACAAACGUGACACGAAGUUGCUUGGGGAAAAGGGAAGGUGCAGAGGAAGACAGAGUCACACAUGCAGCCUGUGUUCAUCUUUUGAACCGUGCUGAUAAUCUGAAAGAAUGGUUGGGAAGUGGUAAAAGGAGAGCCAUGAGUGGCUGAAAUCAAGGCAGUUGAGGACAAUUUCACUCCAAAAGCAGACCAUCAUCAUGCCGAAUCCCAAGAGGAAAUCAUGAUUGGAAUACAAUUACUGCCAGUGAUCCACGCCUUUGCCUCUGCAGACCUGGGUAAGUAAUGCUUGAUCCAUGAUGAGUCUGACUACUUUUUGAGAAACUGCCCUUUGCAUGUAGGGUGUUCUUGUACUGGAAGAUAUACUACAUGGUAGCUACAAUAAUAGUUGUUGUUCAAGAGUGAAUCCCCAAUGGAAAUUUAGGCUGGUCUUGUUUCCCUGUUCUUUUCCUUCCCCUGAAAGCAUUGCUGGUGUUGAAGCUCUGUAGAGCAUGGCUGCUGUAUGACCCCUCAGCACCUCUGCUUCCUGUGUUCAUUGUCGCUCCUUCAUAGCUGAGCUCAGUACAGGUUCAUCAGCCUGAGUUGCCUCAGAAAAGCUCAGCUGUACCUCCUAAAAUCAAGCCAUAAAAUUGAGCCCAUACCAAAUGCUGUGCCUUUCACAUCUGAAUGAAGAAGGGACUUCAAAGUCAGUGGGACCACUCAGAAAUGCUAAAGCUCAGCAUAUGGGGUCAGCAUUUUUAGUAUUUCCCCCCUUUGAAAAUGUCUCUGCUGAUUUAUGUUUUGAAACACUGUGAAAAAGAAGCUCCCCCCACACCCAGAGCCAUACACCAAAAUAUUUUGAAUAGCAAGGGCAGCAGAACAAGUCAGUCAUGCUACUCUUGCACUACACAGACAUCUGUGAAAAUUUCACGCUUCCAUGAGCAGAUUCUCCAAAGGGCUGAAUUUGGCUGUAAGUCUCUCAGAGAAUGAUUCCAUUCCUCCUGUGCUUUUUUGGAGGUAUGUUUUUAAUUGUCCUUGGCAUAAAAAUAUUGAAAGACACAAAUUAAAUAAAAUGUCUAAACAACAGGAGGGGGCAGGCUUAAACUGACAAAAAGCAAGAAAAUCAGACUAGCUGCAAACCUGGAAAUGCUGUUCUCAAUUCCUAGCAUGUGCAGGAAAUGCAGCGCAUAUGGCAAAUGGAAUCACCUGGAGCUAGGCCUCUUUGUUACACCUUGGCACAGGAGAGCAGGAACAAAGAAGAGAUGCAGAUUUUAACCCUCAGUUUUCUGUUGUCUGGUAAGGAUCAGUUUAAUCCUAUCCUUAUACAUGGUUUCCAGAUCACGAAUACCAGAUGUUAAAAAUAGGCUCGUUGCUAAAUAUCCCUGCUGUACUUAAAUGUGGAUAACAGUGCCUUUUUGCUGAUUAAAAACUUUCAGCAUCAUUCUUUCUAAUGUUUAAGAAGAAAUACAUAUGAAUGUAAUUGUACCUUCUGGAAAAGUUGAAUUUGGUUAUAACAACACUUUAUUUAUGAUGCUCUUUGCAAAAGCUGUUUUUGGUAUUCUGCUAAGUAAGCCUCUUGGUGUGUCUUAAAAUCGCUAAUGAAUCAGACUUUAGAUGAAGACGGUGCAGGUGUGGCAGCAUAUCAUUAUACAGGGGAGGAGAGUGAAGUGUGAGGAUGUAAAUAUUUACUACAUCUUACAUGAUGUUGAGGAAAAGAAAGUUCUAAGGACAG
This is a long non-coding RNA of Oxyura jamaicensis (ruddy duck), 1729 nucleotides long. RefSeq lists it as uncharacterized. NCBI's taxonomy places the organism in Eukaryota, Metazoa, Chordata, Aves, Anseriformes, Anatidae. The record is from RefSeq and is a predicted model, not a curated record. The transcript is spliced from 3 exons.